UGCGUAGGCGGGUCUUUAAGUCAGGGGUGAAAUCCUGGAGCUCAACUCCAGAACUGCCUUUGAUACUGAAGAUCUUGAGUUCGGGAGAGGUGAGUGGAACUGCGAGUGUAGAGGUGAAAUUCGUAGAUAUUCGCAAGAACACCAGUGGCGAAGGCGGCUCACUGGCCCGGUACUGACGCUGAGGCACGAAAGCGUGGGGAGCAAACA
RNAcentral lists this ribosomal RNA (207 nucleotides) under uncultured bacterium. RNAcentral's name for it is "partial 16S ribosomal RNA". It matches the Rfam family "Bacterial small subunit ribosomal RNA", at positions 568 to 774 of the family's 1533-position model. The record is from RNAcentral.